RNAcentral lists this ribosomal RNA (236 nucleotides) under Clostridioides difficile. RNAcentral describes it as "partial 23S ribosomal RNA". It matches the Rfam family "Bacterial large subunit ribosomal RNA", at positions 1325 to 1557 of the family's 2925-position model. The record is from RNAcentral. Lineage: Bacteria; Bacillati; Bacillota; Clostridia; Peptostreptococcales; Peptostreptococcaceae.
GAAUCCCACAGGCCGUAAACCCAAGGUUGCCAGGGGAAGGUUCGUCCACCCUGUGAUAGUCGGGACCUAAGCUGAGGCCGAAAGGCGUAGGUGAUGGACAACAGGUUGCUAUUCCUGUACUACCGAUAGCCGUUUGAGAGAAGGGAUGACACAGUAGGAUAAGCUAAGCACACUGUUGGUUAUGUGUGCCCAAGCAUUGAGGCAGUCAAAGUAGGCAAAUCCGCUUUGAUAAUGCU